RNAcentral lists this ribosomal RNA (520 nucleotides) under Clostridium botulinum D/C. RNAcentral's name for it is "partial 23S ribosomal RNA". It matches the Rfam family "Bacterial large subunit ribosomal RNA", at positions 1731 to 2261 of the family's 2925-position model. Lineage: Bacteria; Bacillati; Bacillota; Clostridia; Eubacteriales; Clostridiaceae. The record is from RNAcentral.
UAACUUAGGGAGAAGGGGUGCCUACGAGAGUAGGCCGCAGUGAAUAGGCUCAAGCAACUGUUUAUCAAAAACACAGGUCUCUGCUAAAGCGUAAGCUGAUGUAUAGGGGCUGCCGCCUGCCCGGUGCUGGAAGGUUAAGGGGAAUAGUUAGCGCAAGCGAAGCUAUGAACUUAAGCCCCAGUAAACGGCGGCCGUAACUAUAACGGUCCUAAGGUAGCGAAAUUCCUUGUCGGGUAAGUUCCGACCCGCACGAAUGGCGUAAUGAUUUGAGCACUGUCUCGGCAAUAAAUCCGGUGAAAUUGUAGUGCAAGUGAAGAUGCUUGCUACCCGCGGUUGGACGGAAAGACCCCGUAGAGCUUUACUGUAGCUUAGCAUUGAAUUUCGGUAUUGUCUGUACAGGAUAGGUGGGAGACUUAGAAGCGAGGGCGUCAGCUUUCGUGGAGUCGUCCUUGGGAUACCACCCUGACAGUACUGGAAUUCUAACUGGAGGCCAUGAAUCUGGUCACAGGACAUUGCUAGG